AGAUGAUGAGGACAGACAAGGAUGAGGGGAAGGCGGACAGAGCUGGCGGUCUCCAUCCUUCAAGGACUCAUUCCUGAGGACUGAGCAGCACAUAUCAACUAAUUUCAGAAAUAUUUCAGCUGAUGGUAGCCAGCAAAAAGUUUCUGAAAGACUCAAAGUAAUGCCAAGAACUUCCAGGUGAAGGAGACCUUCAUAGACCUGUAACUGGAUUAGCCACUUCUUGAAUUGCAAGAGGAAGUUACAACUAAUUCUCAGGAUCAAAGUCAAAACAAGCCUGUGACUCCAUGAAUACUGAAGGUAUAAACAGGCCUCCCCAGGACAAGCACAGGAGCCCUUGUUAUUAGAAGGAAGAGUUACUUUGUUAUUCAAACAUACACCCACACAUAUCCUCUUCACCCUCCCUAAUGAAAAACCUCAACAGAUGGAGAGCCUGGGCUCCAGGGGCUGCUGGCUGGGAAGGGCCAGCUAGCUGGUGCAGACUGGGGAAGAAGGGAGAAGUGGCUUGUAUAGGUAAUCACUAUCUUUUAAUAGUUCUUACAGAUAGAAAUUCAAUACAUGUUGUUCAGCAAGGUGAGCGGCCUCUGGGGCCUGGGAAACCAAUUUGGCUGAUGUGUCUUUGAUAGGGAUGGGUUUGGGGCUGCACCAAAGGGAAUGUACUUUCUUUAUAUUAUCUUCCCCUCUCUCAUUUGAAAGCCUGUACAAAGAAAUGGUACAAAUGGUCGGUUAACUUAAUGAUUCCAUUGGAGGUGGAUAUUUCUCUGUCAGGUCCCGGGAUGAGGCUGAAGUCUGCAAACCAGAAGGCAGAAUAUGUAGUUAAUUGCCCUCUCUUACCUCCUUACCAGUGCCAGGACUACUCUUCAAGGCCUGUUCCUCAGCAGCUUCUGCAAUUUCCUGGUUAGCUCCAUUCUAGGCCCUCUACUGCAGACUGGAUCCUGAGUUUUUCCUGGUUGCAAGGAACUCUCUCCUUCGGCUUAAAUUAUUUCUCACUCCAACCCCUGCUGUGCAGCAGGCUAUUCCACCCUGCCUUAAUUCACAUUUGAUUGCUUGGACAGAACCACCCAGGAUGCCAGGUGGACAGCCACCCCUCACCCAUGGGCCUAGGCUCACAGCCCUGACCCCUUUCUUCAGAUCUCAAGAGACCCCCUAACCACCUUGACACCCCACCAGCACCAACACACACACACACACACACACCCCAAAAACGCAGUUGCCAUAGGGUAAGGGAGAACUGGCCAAAGGCACGAGCUUAAGAGCCAUUUCCUCUCUUAGGCAACCACGGUAGAUCCCAGAGACCAAAGCCCCAGUGAGCAAGAGGGGCCAGCUUCUUCCCACCUCCGGCCACCAGCCUGUGCUGCCUACAUACGGCCUCCUCUGCUGUAGAACCCAUGGGGAAGCAGCGCACACAAUGGCGUGCGUGUUCCCGGCUUCUGGCUGCUCUGGGCACCCUCAAGGAAGCGUGGAGCAGGGAGGCCUCGAGCAACUUCGAGGCCUUGGUGCCUUCCCUUUGCCCCCCGGAACACUUGAGAGGCAGGAGCUAGGGUGGAGAUUUCUUACCCCACCCAACUUCCUCUUGCAAGUACCGCUGCAACUCUUCCCCAAGAAGAGAGGCCCCCGGCCCUGGGCGCCGUCGGCGGCCGGCGCCCCUCCCCCUUCUUUCUCUGCUUCUCUGAGACCCAGGGAGGGAGGAGGCAGGCGCCUCUGCAGAUAGAGCAGCUAUUGUGACCUUCCCUCGCAGAGCGGGAACCCAGCCGAGUGUGUACUGCCGAGUGUGUACUGCCGGCGGUGGCGGGGGAGGAGGCGACUGUGUGCAAACCUUGGCUUGGGAGGGGGUGGCACUGGGAAAUAAAGGUUUGCAACCUUGGGCAGUUGGGUCCUUCAGAGGGCGUUUGGUUGUGUUUAGACUUGGGUGCUUCCUAACACUAAUUGCAGGCUCAAGAAGGGGAAUUUAUGGUGAGGGCCAAGGCGGCUUGUUUAUAAUUUAUGAAGUUUUAAAAGGCUGUGCCAGGGGCCCGGCUCUCACCAGGGCGGGUGGCCGCGUGGGAGCACGCUCUCCAGGACUCGCUGCCGCCCCCACUCACGCUGGGAGCGAUCGAGUGUGCCCAUCACAUGACUCACGCCAGUGACAGGAACGGAUUGGAGCCACUCUCAGAUGUCUUGGGAACCACCAGAGGUGGGGAAAAGCCAAGAUUUGGUCCUAGCCAACCGCCCCCCGACACACACACCCUGGAACGGAGGGCCCCGGGGAGCCGCAGCUGCUCAGAGAGGGAGCCCCCAGCCCGGCACUUCUUGGUGCCUGAGUGUGAGAGGAAGCUGAUGUCAGCCUGGCAAGACACCGUUUAAAGUCUAAUCCAUGAAACCCAAAGCCACAGAUGACACUUGGGGCUUUGCAGACACCCGCAGACUCAGCAGAUACUACUGUGGUAACACAGGGCGCUGGAAAACGCCUGAAGCCAUGAUGCAUUAUGUAUUUUUAUUAUUAUUAUUUAUGGUAGGAAGAGAUGAGGGAAAACCAGGAUGAAUCUAAACAGCCUGACGAUUCAUCUAUUUAAUAUUUAGCCAGUUAAGAAAGGUGGUUGUAAUCCUUGCAAGGCAACAAGAUCUUGAUUCCCCUAAUAGCUUAAAAAAUAAUUUUGUACAAGACAAUUAGAAAUUCUGCCUAUGGAUGCAAAUUUCAUAGAAAACAAUGUUAAGCCUUGAAACUGGGUAAAAUGUCUUCAAAUGAAGUCAUUUAUUCUGUCGAUACACAUCUACAACAUACAUACUUUAAACCUGCUCAGAUAAAGUGAAAUUUAGCAAAAUAUCCCCUCCUGCCCCCAAUCUAGCAUGCCAUUUUAAAAACAGCACAACAGAACAAAAAAACUGAAUGUUAUUUUGAGCCAUCAUUAGUGAAACACAAACAUCCAAAUAGAAACAAUUGUUGUUCCACCAGAAGAUAAGUUAAAUUAUUUCCACACAAUAGGGAUUUCACCUCUUGUCACCAAGGAUGUAGUAGGAGUUGCAUUAUUUGUCAAACCAAAUAGAGAUGCGUGGGCUGACUUUGCUAAAAUACAAAAGAAUUGAAACUUAUUUGAAGGCGUUUUCAAGUGUCCCCUCCCAUAGAAGCGAGUGUUGUCUGCUGCUAGCUAGAGCCACAUUAAUAUUUACAAAAUGGUUAUGAAUCUUUGAAGACAUAUUUGCCCGUUUUGUACAAAGAAACAGGAGUAAACAGUUUUUAUACGUGUUAUGUUCCAUUAGUGAAACAUUUAUUACUUUACAUCGUGGAGAACAUUUGUUUUCUUUAGAAAUGAACUACCCACCACUACAAAGGAAAACUUCACAACAGCAUUUCCUAGAGAAAAGGCUUAGGUGCCUGUCUCCAAAUGAUUUUUUUUGGCACCUUAGCUCUUCAUAGCUCAAGUCUUAUGAAUUCCUUUGUGUCUUUUCUUUGAUUGUCAGUUUUCUUUCAAAGUUUUUUUAUUACUUAAUGCAGAAAAAUGAGCUCUGGCCUCCCUAAUGUAACAGUUGAUUGUGUCUGGAGAGAGGAUGAUAGAAAUGGCCAGGCAGGCGCUGCAGUGGCAAAGCCCUGUCCCAGUCAUCCCACACAGGACAUUUCUAGGUUUGCACCCUCAGACACCCCCCUCCAUUUCAAUAACUGGAAUGUAAGCAAGUAUCACCCAAAAAAUCAAUUUAUGUACUAGAUUCCAAAUAAAUAAAAGUUUUUCAAAGGGUCAGCCUUGUUCUUGGUCUUCCAUUGGGAUUGUUCAAAAGAUAAAGGCAGAGUGAUGUGCUUGCAAGUGUGUGUGAUUAACACAGAUAGACUUCCAACUGAGAAAAGUUUUUAUUCUAAAUAUUUGUUCAAAUAGUACCAGACAAUUUGAAAUCAAUAAACUGUGACAAGUGGCAAGGGCUGUGGCUGUUGAGAAAUGAAUAAGGUGUGUUGUGCCAUGCCACCGGGCUGCUUGACUCUACGACCAUGAAGGACAAUUUGUGGUCUUAAUCCUUUACAUCAACUACAAACACCAGCCAUGGUUACAACUGUUCAAAACUACUCUCAACUAGUUCAGACCAAGGGGACUAAACAGGUGAAAUGUGGCCCCCAAAGCCUGGGAGCACGUUCCUAAGCUCGGCUGGAGAAUUCUACAAAUAUACACAUAAAUACAUUAAGAGGAGGAAUAAAUAAUCAGGGAAACGAAAUGAAUCGCUUCAAAUAAUAAAUACAGAUCGUUUAGUCCAAUGCAAUCCUUACUGGACGGGGAAGGAGCAUAUAAAUUAAGAUCUCCAAAACUAAGCUAGAUGCAGGCCAGGCCCAGGACUCUCCAACUCUAGUCCUUCCGCAGGCAGGGCGCAUGGCCAACGGGUCUCAGACUUACCUUCGGGACACCAUUACCAGACUAGAGUCCCUCGGUCCGCAGUAUAUGGCACUGUCAGGCUUGCAGGGGAGGAUCCUUGCGGCUGAUUUAUGGCGAGUCACCCGAAGGAGGACGCGCAUGGAGGGGAGGCCCCAUAGCCUCUGCCUCAGCAGCUGGAGACCUGGGAAGCAGGGGCCAGGCCAGAGCUGGGGAGGGGGGUCCCCGAGCUGCCCCGCGGGACCCGCCCGCCGCCACCCCCCCCCCCACCAAAACAAAAG
Molecule: long non-coding RNA, 4606 nt
Filed under: Heterocephalus glaber (naked mole-rat)
Lineage: Eukaryota; Metazoa; Chordata; Mammalia; Rodentia; Bathyergidae
Description: lncRNA (ENSHGLG00000049878.1)
Source: RNAcentral